Molecule: long non-coding RNA, 5104 nt
Filed under: Sus scrofa (pig)
Lineage: Eukaryota; Metazoa; Chordata; Mammalia; Artiodactyla; Suidae
Description: lncRNA (ENSSSCG00000056373.1)
Source: RNAcentral
GAAGUUCCAAGGCUAGGGGUCAAAUUGAAGCUGUAGCUGCCAGCCUACACCACAGCCGCAGCAACAUGGGAUCUGAGCCACAUCUGCGAGCUACACCACAGCUCACGGCAAUGCCAGAUCCUUAACCCACUGAGUGAGGACAGGGAUCAAACCCUCAUCCUCAUGGAUGCUAGUUGGGUUCGUUACCACUAAGCAACAACAGGAACUUCCUCUUAGGUCUUUUUAACUCUCUGCUCAACACCUGAUUUGACCGACUGGCAACUCAUUAUGAAUGAAAAUACUAUAUUGUGUCAAAUGGUCUUUGGUGUAAAAGGAAGUUUUAAUAUAGGUGUGGCCCCUUAUUGUGGUAUGUUUUAGGUUUAUGUUUGCUUCUAUUUUUUAUUUAUGUAUUUAUUUAUUUUUUCUUUUUGCCAUUUUCUAGGGCCGCUCCCACAGCAUAUGGAGGUUCCCAGGCAGGGGUCUAAUCGGAGCUGCAGCCACCGGCCUACACCAGAGCCACAGCAACGCGGGAUCCGAGCCACGUCUGCGACCUACACCACAGCUCACGGCAACGCUAGAUCCUCAACCCACUGAGCAAGGGCGCAGAUUGAACCCGCAACCUCAUGGUUCCUAGUCGGAUUCGUUAGCCACUGUGCUACGACGGAAACUCCUAUGUUUGCUUUAUUAAGAUUGUCUCUUCCACUCAGGUUGGUCAAGCAGCUAUUAUUUAUUACUAUUCUCCAGCUGUCUGAGCAUUGCAAAGUUUCUCCUCCUUCUCUCCUUAACAAAUCUGCAGCCUCUCACACUGCCCUAACCUUAGAAAUCAGGGUUUUCCGUAAGAGCAAACAGGCUGGCUCAAGGCCUGGGUUACAAUUCAUGAUUUUUAUGACCUCUGUGGGCCUUUUUCACAUACUGCCUGUUAUUAGCCAAGUCCCAGAUAAUUGCAGGGUAAUUACGGCCCAUGUAGAGUCCAGCCCUUCCUUUUCCAGGAAAGUAUACUGUGUGAGCUCCAAUAAUGUGUGGCCAGCCCCCACUCCAGCAAGCUGAAAUAGUCUUUGAUUCCACAUAACCUGAAAAAGCCUCUGUCUCAACCUCAGACACAAAAUAUGCCUUUUUUCAGCAUCUGGAAGUUCCCAGGCCAGGGACUGCAUCCAAGCCUCGGCUGUGAUCUAUGCCACAGCUAUGGCAAUGCUGGAUCCUUUAACCCACUUCACCGGGCCAGGGAGCACACCCAUGCCUCCACCGUGACCCAAACCACUAGAGCAAGGAUUCUUAAUCCACUGUGUCACAGCGACAACUCCAAAAUACACCAGUCCCAAAUUAUGUUUCUUCGUCUGUCAACAUUUUCAAGGGAUCUUUCUAGGCCUCACCCUAGGAUCCUUCCCACAAAGACAGAAGUCCCUAUUUUGAUCACUGUGGUGGAAAUGAGUCACAACUUCAGUCAGUGAAUAAACAAUUUGCUCUCACAGAGAGUUCUCGAGAACUCAAUUUAGAUGUCCCUUCACAGGACCCCUAGAGGUCUUACCCAACUGUCGUUUUCAUGUUUAAGGAGAGAGGUAGGAAACUGCUGCUCCACCGCUUACCACCUGUGUGCCAUGUGCAGGUGACGGCUCCUCCUUGUCCUUCGCUGUGAUGCCCAAGAGGUGGAGUUAAUAAGACCCUUGAAUGAGAUAAGGCUUGGAAAGAACGGGCCCUCAAGAUAAUGCUCAAAGAAGGUUGAUUUUCUGUGUCCACUUGGCUUGGCCGCAGUGCCCAGAUACUUGGUCAAACAUUCUGGAUGUUUCUUUGAUGAGGGUUUUUGGCUGAGAAAACUUGAAAUCAGUAGACUCUAAGUAAAGCACUUUCCCCUCCAUAGUGUGCAUGGGCCUCAUCCAAACAGUUGAAGGCCUUAACAGAACAAAGACUGACCUUCCCCAGCAGGAAGGACUUCUGCCAGCAGACUCCCCCUGGACCCAAACUGCAGCUCUUGACUAAGUCUCCAGCCUGCCAGCCUUCACCAUCAGAUUUUGGACUUGCCAGGUUUCCAAAAUCGUGUGACCCAAUUCCGUAAAAUAUAUCAAUUUCUCUUUCUCCUUCUCUCUCCCACAACCACCCCCCUCUCUCUGUGUCCUCAUACAUAUAUGGAGAGCCUGGACUAAUACAAUGGCUAUCAUUAUUCUAAUCAGCAUCAUUAUUAUACUAUUAAGACAAAUACACUGGUCAUCCUCUAAUUUCAACUGCAAGGAGACAGGAAACUUCUCCAAAUCCUCCAAGACUGGAAAAUCUCAACCAAACCAGACGCCCAAGUAAGUGUCCCCAAGAAGUUCACCCAGCAUCCAAGAAUGACUUGGUAGCAAAAGAUCCAUUUGGACCCAUUCCUAGGAAUUGGCAAAUAAACUGAACAACUUUAAUAUUUCUGGCUUUUUAUAAGAAAUUUUAAGGAAGACAAGACCCAGCAAAAGAAGACAUGCAAUUAGUAAAUAAAUUGUUUUAUGUAUCUUACUGUUGUAUUUAUGUUAUACUGUAAGCUCCUUCCGAGCAUAUAAACCUAGAGUGAUGCUAACAACAUGAUUAUUCAUUUACUGCCUCCUGACUUUGUAGGCAUACACUUCUAUGAUCUGGGUCUUGCUCAUACAACUAUCAUAAAAUGAAACCUCUUUUUCUGUGAAAAGUAAUAAAUCAGCUUCAUGUCUUUGAAGUGUGAAUUUUUCAGUCUCUCUUCAUAUUUGUCUUUAGCAAAGGGUCAAAGGAUAUCUCAAAACCCUGUAAUUUUACUCUAUUUCAAUUCACAGGAUAUAAAUAUCUUUAUUUCUCUGCCAGGCAUUUUAUUUCUCUCCUUGGUCAUGUCUGAUGGUUUGCAUGUCCUAAAUUUCCGGUCUCCAAUCCAGUAUUUUGGCUUUAAUGCCUUUACUUCAUUAAUCAUCAGAAACAUAACUACUUGACAGCCAGCUUGCAGGUGGUCUGGAGGCCAGGACUGAGGACAAUUCAGUGGUGAGAACAAUUAGGGUGGCACCAGGUUGGAAGACUGAUGUUUCGAUGGGCAGGGGGUAUAUCAUGACUGUGAACUGUGAGGGUUUAAGUGAAGUCUGAGCAACAGGAGCUGGGACAAGGCAAAGCACAAAGGCUUAGACCCUUAAGUAUGAGUGAGAAGGAAAGGGUCAGUGUCCAGAGGAAUGAUGUGGAGAAGAACACAUCUCUCAGGCAAGUUGCAAGGAAACAGGCAAAGUAGAACCUCACGAGGGGACAAAUGGACUUAUCCACAUGACAGCACACUUUGGAAUGACAAAGGAUCCCAGGGCAGGGCCAUCUGCCUGCUGUCUUGGCUUUAAAUGGCCUCACUAGCAUAGGGAGAUGAAGGCUAGCAGGUGUGUGCUGUCCACUGACAAGAGGCCAAGGCUGGCUCUGCAGGUGCCGGGGUCGGCAGCCAAGAGGGCAGGCCUCUGAGAGCCCUUGCAGGUCUACUGCUGCGGCUGAAACUGAUACACAUAGACUCCUCCUCUCAUUGGUUCUCGUUCUCCUAAGGGCCACACAUUAAGUAUCCAGUUUUAUUACAUAGAAUAGCCUCCUGGAGUCUGCUGCUGGGAGGAAUGGCUCAACACUGGGAAAAGUCCUAAAGUCUACUGUGAGAACCUGGGAAGAUUUGAAAAUCUUCCUGUUCUCACUAAAACUACAGGUAUCUGGUCCUCAGACAUCUUCUCAGAGGACAUGGGAGAGGGAUCCUAAGUUCCUAACCCAAAGCAAAAUACAUCAGGCCUUCUUGAAAGAGAUACAAUGAAAAGUUUUGAGACACAGAGGGUGUUUUCACUGUUUACUCAAGGAUCCAAAAAACAGACCUAUCCCAGAGGAAAAGAAAGAGGCAGUGACAGGUGGCUCCGGCCACCCUGAUUUUCUUUUAGGUACCCCUCACUGUCACAGUCCAGGGGAGUGAGAAGCACACCUUCUUACCUAACACCCCUUCUUCCACCAACCAAGAAUCAUGGUGCGCCCUCCAUACUCAGUACUAUUGAAAGCCAGACAAAAUCCCCAUAAUCCAGAAAAGAGUCCACAAACUCACUAAUACAUUACUUAAGGCUGAACGGAACUGAUUAUUUAGUUAUGCCCGCAAUAUGUGCAUUUGCGGAAGACAAGAAACUUGAAGUUUUUUGGUUUUGUUUUUGUCUUUUUGUCUUUUCUAGGGCUGCUCCCGUGGCAUAUGGAGGUUCCGAGGCUAGGGGUCUAAUCGGAGCUGUAGCCACCAGCCUACACCACAGCUCACAGCAACGCCGGAUCCUUUUUUUUUUUUUUAAAGGGAGACUCUAUGGUGGCAUUUCAAACAGUGAAUAGAUAAAGAAGCCAUCUGGAGGGAAUUCAAAGGCAUCUCUCAGCCACUGAAUGGGAACACCUUAUUUAGAGCCCACUCCACCCACAGGCAAGAGUGACCCUGAGAAAACCUGUUAUAAUAGAGGGUGCGUUUUAUCUUAAAGAGAUUUGCCUAUUAAUUCUGAAUAUUCAACUCUAAAAGAACUGGAAGAACAUAUCAAUGCUUAGACAAAAAGCUCAAGACACUUCCAAUUUCUCCCCAGAGCUAUUCCCAUCAGUUUGUUCUGGGGGGGGGAGCUGAGCAGUAGGGGCAUUUCUUCAAUCAGUUAAAUAUCUUUGCAGAAGGAAAUCCUGUUACACUCUCCUAAGGGAUUUAAUCCAGAGACCUUUUCUCUUGAAUUUCACAAGAAAUUGCUCACAUCUUAAGAGAAGGAGGAUUUGUAGAUACUAAAGGGGUAAAUCGGAAAUUAAGCUGCUCGGAUUUACCACUUAUUGAUCUGGAAUUAUUAAAACUCUCAGCCAUUUUCGGGUUCACCUUCGAUAGAAAAAUUAAAGUGAUUAAAAGUUUUGCAUACUGCUUUUUCUAAGUGACUGUACAUUCCCUUCAAAAAUCUUUGAAAUAAAAUGCUCCUGUGAAAAUCUCAUACGACUGUUGUCAUAAUCAUAAUUACUGUAAAACUCCCAUUGAUUCCCAGGAUGCGCUGUGUAUCACAACUGCUCUUUAUCUCAUUCGGCUGUGUUCAAGCUGACACCAGCUACUUCUAUUUCUCCUCUAGUGCCUGUCAUAAUGUUUCUGUUUUAGAAUUUAAACAGAUUCUAAUCCAGAGUCAUGUAAUAUACUAUUCUA